This 464-nucleotide ribosomal RNA is filed under the name uncultured bacterium. RNAcentral describes it as "bacterial SSU rRNA". The stretch from base 1 to 216 matches the Rfam family "Bacterial small subunit ribosomal RNA", at positions 338 to 546 of the family's 1533-position model. The record is from RNAcentral.
CCUACGGGGGGCUGCAGUGGGGAAUAUUGCACAAUGGGGGAAACCCUGAUGCAGCAACGCCGCGUGAGCGAUGAAGGCCUUCGGGUCGUAAAGCUCUGUUGUUAGGGAAGAACACGUACGAGAGUCACUGCUCGUACCUUGACGGUACCUAACCAGAAAGCCACGGCUAACUAAGUGCCAGGAGCCGCGGUAAUACGUAGGUGGCAAGCGGUGUCCGGAAUUAUUGGGCGUAAUGGGCGGGGAGGCGGUGACUUAAGGCUGAGGUGAAGUGGCACGGCGCAACGGUAGGAGAGGAGGGAAAGAGGAGGGAUUGAGGGGAGGGGAGGAGGGUGGAAAUCGGAGGGAAGGGGUGAGAUGGGUAGGGAUUGGGGGGGAUACGAUUGGAGUAGGCGGGUUUGUGGAGGGGGACUGAAGGUGGGGGAGAAAAGCGUGGGGAGAGACCAGGAUGAGAUGCGAUUGUAGUC